CCUGGUGGCUUAGACGGUAAAGCAUCUGUCUACAAUGCAGGAGACCUGAGUUCGAUCCCUGGGUCAGGA
Molecule: transfer RNA, 69 nt
Filed under: Capra hircus (goat)
Lineage: Eukaryota; Metazoa; Chordata; Mammalia; Artiodactyla; Bovidae
Also listed under: 1 other name
Rfam family: tRNA
About the family: Transfer RNA (tRNA) molecules are approximately 80 nucleotides in length. Their secondary structure includes four short double-helical elements and three loops (D, anti-codon, and T loops).
Source: Rfam by way of RNAcentral